This 447-nucleotide transfer RNA is filed under the name Canis lupus familiaris (dog). RNAcentral's name for it is "lncRNA (ENSCAFG00845001162.1)". Lineage: Eukaryota; Metazoa; Chordata; Mammalia; Carnivora; Canidae. The record is from RNAcentral.
AUGAGCAGAGCUUCCUGGUUCUGCAAGUACCUUCUGAAAUGCUUCUUUUGUUUCUGGAAUGCACUGGAUAGUCUCUUUUGCAAGCAAACCUUCAAAAUCCUUGAGAAGCGAGCAGUAUUUCAUCAGGAGAGAAAUGGCACCCCCUCCAGCUAUAGUUUCCACCUUGAUGUUCUUUUCUUACUUGGUAAUUGGCUUUUGUUUAUUAAUUCUAUGUAUUUUCCUAUUGUUUCUAAAAUUUUUUAGUCCAUUCCUUUGGGUUUUCUCUGUUUACAGGUUUAUGAUAAAAAAUUAAUUCCAAGGGGCACCUGACUUGCUCAGUCAGUGGAGCGUGUGACUCUUCAUCUUGGGACUGUGGGUUUGAGCCCCACGUUGGGUAUAGAGAUCAUUUAAAGGUAAAAUCUUAAAAAAGAAAGAAAGUGACAUUAAUUCCAAAUACAGUUCGUUAUU